RNAcentral lists this ribosomal RNA (250 nucleotides) under uncultured bacterium. Its description in RNAcentral is "partial 16S ribosomal RNA". It matches the Rfam family "Bacterial small subunit ribosomal RNA", at positions 524 to 773 of the family's 1533-position model. The record is from RNAcentral.
UACGUAGGGUGCAAGCGUUGUCCGGAAUUACUGGGUGUAAAGGGAGUGUAGGCGGGAUAGCAAGUCAGAUGUGAAAACUAUGGGCUCAACCCAUAGACUGCAUUUGAAACUGCUGUUCUUGAGUGAAGUAGAGGUUGGCGGAAUUCCUAGUGUAGCGGUGGAAUGCGUAGAUAUUAGGAGGAACAUCAGUGGCGAAGGCGGCCAACUGGGCUUUUACUGACGCUGAGGCUCGAAAGCGUGGGGAGCAAAC